UACGUAGGGGGCUAGCGUUAUCCGGAUUUACUGGGCGUAAAGGGUGCGUAGGCGGUCUUUCAAGUCAGGAGUGAAAGGCUACGGCUCAACCGUAGUAAGCUCUUGAAACUGUAAGACUUGAGUGCAGGAGAGGAGAGUGGAAUUCCUAGUGUAGCGGUGAAAUGCGUAGAUAUUAGGAGGAACACUAGUUGCGAAGGCGGCUCUCUGGACUGUAACUGACGCUGAUGCACGAAAGCGUGGGGAGCAAACAGGAUUAGAUACCCUGGUA
Molecule: ribosomal RNA, 268 nt
Filed under: uncultured prokaryote
Description: partial 16S ribosomal RNA
Rfam family: Bacterial small subunit ribosomal RNA
Source: RNAcentral